Molecule: ribosomal RNA, 407 nt
Filed under: bacterium Ellin7515
Lineage: Bacteria
Description: bacterial SSU rRNA
Rfam family: Bacterial small subunit ribosomal RNA
Source: RNAcentral
AAUCAACGCUGGCGGCGUGCCUAACACAUGCAAGUCGCACGAGAAAGUGGAGCAAUCCAUGAGUAAAGUGGCGCACGGGUGAGUAACACGUGAAUAAUCUACCUCCGAGUGGGGAAUAACUUAGGGAAACCUGAGCUAAUACCGCAUAACACUUACGAGUCAAAGCAGCAAUGCGCUUGGAGAGGAGUUCGCGGCAGAUUAGCUAGUUGGCGGGGUAAUGGCCCACCAAGGCGAUGAUCUGUAUCCGGCCUGAGAGGGCGCACGGACACACUGGAACUGAAACACGGUCCAGACUCCUACGGGAGGCAGCAGUGGGGAAUUUUGCGCAAUGGGGGAAACCCUGACGCAGCAACGCCGCGUGGAGGAUGAAAUCCCUUGGGAUGUAAACUCCUUUCGAUCGGGACGAU